RNAcentral lists this ribosomal RNA (449 nucleotides) under uncultured bacterium. RNAcentral describes it as "partial 16S ribosomal RNA". It matches the Rfam family "Bacterial small subunit ribosomal RNA", at positions 29 to 523 of the family's 1533-position model. The record is from RNAcentral.
AACGAACGCUGGCGGCAUGCCUAACACACGCAAGUCGAACGAGAUCUUCGGGUCUAGUGGCGCACGGGUGCGUAACGCGUGGGAAUCUGCCCUUUGGUUCGGAAUAACAGUUGGAAACGACUACUAAUACCGGAUGAUGACGAAAGUCCAAAGAUUUAUCGCCAGAGGAUGAGCCCGCGUAGGAUUAGCUAGUUGGUGUGGUAAAGGCGCACCAAGGCGACGAUCCUUAGCUGGUCUGAGAGGAUGAUCAGCCACACUGGGACUGAGACACGGCCCAGACUCCUACGGGAGGCAGCAGUGGGGAAAAUGGGACAAUGGGCGAAAGCCUGAUCGAGCAAGGCCGCGGGAGUGAUGAAGGCCUUAGGGUUGUAAAGCUCUUUUACCCGGGAUGAUAAUGACAGUACCGGGAGAAUAAGCUCCGGCUAACUCCGUGCCAGCCGCCGCCGUAA